Eptesicus fuscus (big brown bat) is the source of this 141-nucleotide small nuclear RNA. RefSeq annotates it as U4 spliceosomal RNA. The transcript has a single exon. The record is from RefSeq and is a predicted model, not a curated record. NCBI's taxonomy places the organism in Eukaryota, Metazoa, Chordata, Mammalia, Chiroptera, Vespertilionidae.
AGCUUUGCGCCGUGGCAGUAUCGUAGCCGAUGAGGUUUAUCCAAGGCACGGUUAUUGCUAAUUGAAACCUUUUCCACAUACCCCGCCACGACGGCUUGAAAUAGAGUCGGCCCUGGCAAUUUUUGACCGUCUCUACGGAGA